This 279-nucleotide unclassified non-coding RNA is filed under the name plant metagenome. RNAcentral describes it as "partial contains small subunit ribosomal RNA, internal transcribed spacer 1, and 5.8S ribosomal RNA". The record is from RNAcentral.
UUUCCGUAGGUGAACCUGCGGAAGGAUCAUUAAUGUAUAACCGAGGGGCGAGGGCUGGCGCGGACGCGAGAGGUCGUGCACGCACGAGUGACAUAACACAGAUCUAUCGAACCGCUAUGUGAACAACCGUGCGGGUCCCCCUUUGGCCUGUUCGGAGGGGGGAUGACGUUUUGACUAAAACGAUGUAUGAAGUGUAGAAUGUAUUUUUUGUUUUUGCGAUCACGCAAUCAAUACAACUUACAACAACGGAUCUGUUGGCUCUCGCAUCGAAGAAGAACG